This 326-nucleotide ribosomal RNA is filed under the name uncultured eukaryote. RNAcentral's name for it is "partial 18S ribosomal RNA". It matches the Rfam family "Eukaryotic small subunit ribosomal RNA", at positions 1470 to 1796 of the family's 1831-position model. The record is from RNAcentral.
CCCUUAGAUGUUCUGGGCCGCACGCGCGCUACACUGUUCGACGCAGCGAGUCUUAACCUUGACCGAAAGGUUUGGGUAAUCUCCAAAUUUCGUCGUGAUGGGGAUAGAUUAUUGCAAUUAUUAAUCUUCAACGAGGAAUGCCUAGUAAGCGCAAGUCAUCAGCUUGCGUUGAUUACGUCCCUGCCCUUUGUACACACCGCCCGUCGCUCCUACCGAUUGAAUGGUCCGGUGAAGCGUUCGGACCGUGGCCUUUGGACGGUUCGCCGUCUGUUGGCUGCGGGAAGUUCGUUAAACCUUAUCAUUUAGAGGAAGGAGAAGUCGUAACA